Long non-coding RNA from Sebastes umbrosus (honeycomb rockfish), 460 nucleotides. RefSeq lists it as uncharacterized. The record is from RefSeq and is a predicted model, not a curated record. Lineage: Eukaryota; Metazoa; Chordata; Actinopteri; Perciformes; Sebastidae. The transcript has 3 exons.
CUACAUCUACAAACAAGACAGACACAAGGAGAAGAACUGCAGGGAAAUCUGGACACACGGACUGAAAGAGAGAGCGAAGAGAAAGGAAAAGAUAGAAAAGAAGGAAAAGGAAGAAGUAAACAAAAACAAAUGGAGACGCGCCAAAGAAUGUCCAUCUUAAAGGUGAUCUGACAUAAUAUUGAGUCUUCCAAUCUAGAGGUUUGGCAAUUUCGGUUCUUUACAUAUUUCAAUAAGGACUUUUUCAAACAAAAAAAUCAACAACUUUCAUAGUUAGAUAAAAAUAUUUCGACGCCAGUCAACCGCACCAUUGCUUUGUGUAUUAAUUUUUUUUAAACUUUUUGGCAUCUGUUGAUAUGCAGAAUUAAAUUAUGUAGAAAAUAUAAGUAAAACAUAUCAUGGAAGCAUAGUAUAGUAAAGCAUAGUAUCUUAUAUUGAAAUGUUUAACUUAUAUUUUCCACAU